UACGAAGGGGCUAGCGUUGUUCGGAAUGACUGGGCGUAAAGCGCACGUAGGCGGCUUGUUUAGUCAGGGGUGAAAUCCCGGGGCUUAACCCCGGAACUGCCUUUGAUACUGGCAGGCUUGAGUCCGGAAGAGGGUGACGGAAUACCCAGUGUAGAGGUGAAAUUCGUAGAUAUUGGGUAGAACACCAGUGGCGAAGGCGGUCACCUGGUCCGGUACUGACGCUGAGGUGCGAAAGCGUGGGGAGCAAACAGG
RNAcentral lists this ribosomal RNA (252 nucleotides) under uncultured bacterium. RNAcentral describes it as "partial 16S ribosomal RNA". It matches the Rfam family "Bacterial small subunit ribosomal RNA", at positions 524 to 776 of the family's 1533-position model. The record is from RNAcentral.